UGGGGAAUAUUGGACAAUGGGCGCAAGCCUGAUCCAGCAACGCCGCGUGGAGGAUGAAGGUCUUCGGAUCGUAAACUCCUGUCAGGCGGGACGAAGGUGCGGGGGCGAACAGUUCUCGUACUUGACGGUACCGUCAGAGGAAGCCCCGGCUAACUCCGUGCCAGCAGCCGCGGUAAUACGGAGGGGGCGAGCGUUAUUCGGAAUUAUUGGGCGUAAAGGGCGCGUAGGCGGCUGUGUAAGUCAAAGGUGAAAUCCCUCGGCUCAACUGAGGAACUGCCUUUGAAACUGCACGGCUUGAGGCCGGGAGGGGGUAGCGGAAUUCCCAGUGUAGCGGUGAAAUGCGUAGAUAUUGGGAGGAACACCAGUGGCGAAGGCGGCUACCUGGACCGGUACUGACGCUGAUGCGCGAAAGCGUGGGUAGCAAACAGGAUUAGAUACCCCCGUAGUCC
Molecule: ribosomal RNA, 449 nt
Filed under: uncultured bacterium
Lineage: Bacteria
Description: bacterial SSU rRNA
Rfam family: Bacterial small subunit ribosomal RNA
Source: RNAcentral